GACGAACCGUGCGAAUGUUGUUCGGAAUCACCGGGCUUAAAGGGAGCGUAGGCGGGCUAUCAAGUCUGGGGUGAAAUGCCGCGGCUCAACCGUGGAACUGCCUUAGAUACUGACGGCCUCGAGGGAGAUAGGGGCAUGCGGAACUGUAGGUGGAGCGGUGAAAUGCGUUGAUAUCUACAGGAACUCCGGUGGCGAAAGCGGCGUGCUGGAUCUCUUCUGACGCUGAGGCUCGAAAGCUAGGGGAGCAAACGGG
RNAcentral lists this ribosomal RNA (253 nucleotides) under uncultured bacterium. Its description in RNAcentral is "partial 16S ribosomal RNA". It matches the Rfam family "Bacterial small subunit ribosomal RNA", at positions 524 to 776 of the family's 1533-position model. The record is from RNAcentral.